Molecule: ribosomal RNA, 448 nt
Filed under: uncultured bacterium
Lineage: Bacteria
Description: bacterial SSU rRNA
Rfam family: Bacterial small subunit ribosomal RNA
Source: RNAcentral
UGGGGAAUCUUGCGCAAUGGACGAAAGUCUGACGCAGCGACGCCGCGUGGGUGAUGAAGGCCUUCGGGUUGUAAAGCCCUGUGGGGAGGGACGAAUAAGUUCCGGUUAAUACCCGGAGCGAUGACGGUACCUCCUUAGCAAGCACCGGCUAACUCUGUGCCAGCAGCCGCGGUAAGACAGAGGGUGCAAACGUUGUUCGGAAUUACUGGGCGUAAAGCGCGUGUAGGCGGCUAUGCAAGUCGGAUGUGAAAGCCCUCGGCUCAACCGGGGAAGUGCACUCGAAACUGCAAAGCUAGAGUCUCGGAGAGGAUCGUGGAAUUCUCGGUGUAGAGGUGAAAUUCGUAGAUAUCGAGAGGAACACCGGUGGCGAAGGCGGCGAUCUGGACGAUGACUGACGCUGAGACGCGAAAGCGUGGGGAGCAAACAGGAUUAGAUACCCCCGUAGUCC